CUUGUGUGUUUUUGUCAAGCUCUCCAGUUUCUGCCUGCCCCUCGUUGGAUUUGUUUGCCUUGAACGUUACAGGGGGGAUAAAAGUGGACGCUGUAAUGCAGAAUCACCAAAAGAGUCACUCACAGAAAACAAAAAACACAUCAGAGCCUGAGUCAGAUGGACCUCUAAACCCACCAAAACAGAAAAAUGGUCCAGAGGAGGACACAGUGACGCAGGAAACCUAAAAUGUGGGAAAGAAGUCAAAGAUGCAAUAGGCAGAGCCACAAGUCACACCUCAACACAGGAUGUGUGUUGCUUCUAUCAUGCUGAGCCGAAUGACUGGCUGGGAAACUGCACAUAAAAAAAAAAAAAAAGAUCUCAAUCAUCAAUUAGCAGUUUUAUGCAGGUUGUUUAAACACAGGUGAUUUGAGACAUUUGGUCCAAUAACAUCUGGAAUGUUUAGAGAAGCGGAAGUUAAAAUCUGCCAACUCGGUCGGCCAAAGCACAGCGCCAGUAGACUUCCAACAGGGUUUGUGUAAAAUCUCGACAGUGACUCAGCCUCUUGUAGCCUCUGGAUCGAGCCCAGUUGAUCUGGUUCUGGAGAAAGUCUGACGGAUUAGACGUAAUGUCACAGCCUCAGUUUCCUGGAGCGAAAGCGCUCAACAUUGGUUGCGAGGGAAGCUGGAAAAACGUGUCCAUGCAUGGCGAGGAUACAGUGAGGUCACACAGAAACAGAGACCCCCCUCACAUGAGUCACUCUGGUGCAGCUGGGAGGAGCGCCAGCAUCAAAGUCUGCCAACAGGAAGGUGCACUUGGCUGUAUACUGUUGAACUAUUGUAAGAGGUUGUUCAUGUUGUCUGAGAGCUGCACGUCUGUCAGCCAUAUCCCUCUCCUGCACGCCUGAACGUCAGCAGAUCAAAAGAGAUCGAAGGACGGCUUUCUUCUCAUGUUUGUGAACUGAACUUUAACGAGAAAGGAAGGAAGGAGGUGAGACAGAGCAGGGCUGUGGACGAGAACCAGCCAUCUUCCUAGCUUCCAGAGUGGAAAUCAUCAUCAGGUUCCAGCACUGCUCAGUUUAUCUUGACAUGCUUCCAUAAAUGAUAUGGGAGGGAAAUACCUCAAGAGGGAGGAAGGAAACCCAGUGGACCGUGGAGCUGUUCGAAUAAGCAAAUGUUGUUUAAUCAUCACUGGUAAAUCCAGACACUUCAAUAAAGAAAGAAUUAAGGAUGCGGUCCAUUAAAGAUGAUUUAUUUCUGGACAGUGUUGGAGGUGAUCACUGUUCAUUCCUGUCCUGUUGUGAAGCCAAUAAAACUCAACUUUCCAGAUAUAAAAAUAACUUGAUCGCCAGUAUUCUAAACUUUCAGACCGAGUGGCUGAAAUUUCACAUUCCCUCACAGUGAGUCUCUCUCCUGUUACAACUGGCUCCGUGACGUGAAACGUGACAAUAUAACGCUUUAGAUGAAAAUCACAGAUGUCUGCAGGAAGUUGGAUUGGCGGUUUAGAUAACAUGUGACUUUCUUUGCGUGGAGGUUGUUGUUUCCAAUAGCAAAGAUGAUUUUGUAGCAGCAUCAGUCAAAUAGAGGAAAGAGAUGGAGACAACUUCCAGUGAGUCAGAGCAGGGAGGUGGAGCCGGCUGCUGGAUUAUUAUUCUUACAUGUUCACACAGUAGAAGAGAAGAUAUGGAUCAGGAUUUGGAUUGUUACACAGGAACAAGGAAGGGUUGUUAACGCAGAUCCUCUACGAAUACCAUUCUUUUGUGUCUUGUUUUUCUUUUUUUUUUGGGUGCAUUUCAAGCAGAUUUUCAAGAUUGUUUCCCAAAUAAACCCGUAACCAUGGAAACCAACUUUAAACUGGCCAUUAAAAAGUGAUCACACCUCCCGUUGUCUCCUUCGUCUUCCUUUUGCAGGUUUCUUGCAGGAAAAAAUCUGACAAUCUUCUGAUGUUGACGAAAGAUGUCAGUCAUCCAGGUGAAGGUAAAUCUGGGUGCCGUAUCGUAGCCGAUGUUACAAUCAGUUUUUGUGAACCCAAAUUUUUAAUUUCA
Long non-coding RNA from Acanthopagrus latus (yellowfin seabream), 2020 nucleotides. RefSeq lists it as uncharacterized. NCBI's taxonomy places the organism in Eukaryota, Metazoa, Chordata, Actinopteri, Spariformes, Sparidae. The transcript has 3 exons. The record is from RefSeq and is a predicted model, not a curated record.